Long non-coding RNA from Leptonychotes weddellii (Weddell seal), 529 nucleotides. RefSeq lists it as uncharacterized. The record is from RefSeq and is a predicted model, not a curated record. NCBI's taxonomy places the organism in Eukaryota, Metazoa, Chordata, Mammalia, Carnivora, Phocidae.
GCCACUCCAGGGGGAACCAGAGUCACUAACCCCUUGUGUUGAACCUGGGCCCUGAGACCCAUCACCACCUGUCCUCAUGAUCUGCAGGCUCUGGCAGUGUGGCCUGUGGCGGUCAGAACGCUGCCUGGGCCAGCAGGCGGGGCAAACCCAACCCGGGCAGAGGCCUGAACAGGCACCUUCCUGCAGCAUUGGGGGAGGGGCAACCAGAAAACCCUAUCUUCACCCACUGUACCCUGCGCCAGCCUCCUUCCUGACCUUGCCUGAAGUUCCCCCAGUUGUCACCACAAGCAAAGAUCAGGCGCUGUCAUCAAGCUCAGAAGUUGUUUGAAAAGCUAAUCUUGCCUUAGAAGGCGCUGGGGCUGGUUUGAGAGGGCUGGAGUCCUUACAAGAAGAGGAGACUGGGACGCAGACUCCCAUAGACGGAAGAUCAUGUGGGGACGCAGGGAGAAGAUGAAUAGCUACAAGCUGAGGAGAGGCCUCCGAAGCAACCACCCCUGCCAACUUGAUCUUGGACUUGUAGCCUCCAGGA